AACGAACGCUGGCGGCAUGCCUAACACAUGCAAGUCGAACGAGACCUUCGGGUCUAGUGGCGCACGGGUGCGUAACGCGUGGGAACCUGCCCUUAGGUUCGGAAUAACUCCCCGAAAGGGGUGCUAAUACCGGAUAAUGUCUUCGGACCAAAGAUUUAUCGCCUUUGGAUGGGCCCGCGUUGGAUUAGUUAGUUGGUAGGGUAAAAGCCUACCAAGGCGACGAUCCAUAGCUGGUCUGAGAGGAUGAUCAGCCACACUGGGACUGAGACACGGCCCAGACUCCUACGGGAGGCAGCAGUGGGGAAUAUUGGACAAUGGGCGAAAGCCUGAUCCAGCAAUGCCGCGUGAGUGAUGAAGGCCUUAGGGUUGUAAAGCUCCUUUACCCGGGAUGAUAAUGACAGUACCGGGAGAAUAAGCUCCGGCUAACUCCGUG
This 433-nucleotide ribosomal RNA is filed under the name uncultured bacterium. RNAcentral's name for it is "partial 16S ribosomal RNA". It matches the Rfam family "Bacterial small subunit ribosomal RNA", at positions 29 to 507 of the family's 1533-position model. The record is from RNAcentral.